Molecule: ribosomal RNA, 857 nt
Filed under: Aulographina eucalypti
Lineage: Eukaryota; Fungi; Ascomycota; Dothideomycetes; Asterinales; Asterinaceae
Description: eukaryotic LSU rRNA
Rfam family: Eukaryotic large subunit ribosomal RNA
Source: RNAcentral
AGAAACCAACCGGGAUUGCCCUAGUAACGGCGAAGUGAAGCGGCAACAGCUCAAAUUUGAAAUCUGGCGCCUUCGGCGUCCGUGUUGUAAUUUGUAGAGGGUAGCUCGGGCCCGCCCCCGUCUAAGUCCCCUGGAACGGGGCGUCGUAGAGGGUGAGAAUCCCGUAUGCGACGGGGUGGCGUGCCCGUGUGAGCUCCCUUCGACGAGUCGAGUUGUUUGGGAAUGCAGCUCUAAAUGGGAGGUAAAUUCCUUCUAAAGCUAAAUACCGGCCAGAGACCGAUAGCGCACAAGUAGAGUGAUCGAAAGAUGAAAAGCACUUUGGAAAGAGAGUUAAAAAGCACGUGAAAUUGUUGAAAGGGAAGCGCUCACGACCAGACUCGGGUGCGGCUGCUCAGCCGGUCUUCUGACCGGUGCAUCGGUUGUACCCGGGCUAGCAUCGGUUCGGGCGGUCGGAUAAAGGUCUCGGGAACGUAGCUCCCCUCGGGGAGUGUUAUAGCCCGGGGCGCAAUGCGGCCUGCCCGGACCGAGGAACGCGUUCGCUAGGAUGCUGGCGUAAUGGUCGUUAGCGGCCCGUCUUGAAACACGGACCAAGGAGUCUACCAUCUGUGCGAGUAUUAGGGUGUCAAACCCUUGUGCGUAAUGAAAGUGAACGGAGGUGGGAACCUUUUGGGUGCACCAUCGACCGAUCCAGAUGUCCUCGGACGGAUUUGAGUAAGAGCACCGCUGGUGGGACCCGAAAGAUGGUGAACUAUGCGCGGAUAGGGUGAAGCCAGAGGAAACUCUGGUGGAGGCUCGCAGCGGUUCUGACGUGCAAAUCGAUCGUCAAAUCUACGCAUAGGGGCGAAAGACUAAUCGAA